This 342-nucleotide ribosomal RNA is filed under the name Vibrio parahaemolyticus 3644. Its description in RNAcentral is "bacterial LSU rRNA". It matches the Rfam family "Bacterial large subunit ribosomal RNA", at positions 768 to 1109 of the family's 2925-position model. Lineage: Bacteria; Pseudomonadati; Pseudomonadota; Gammaproteobacteria; Vibrionales; Vibrionaceae. The record is from RNAcentral.
GGAGGACCGAACCGACUAAUGUUGAAAAAUUAGCGGAUGACUUGUGGCUAGGGGUGAAAGGCCAAUCAAACCUGGAGAUAGCUGGUUCUCCCCGAAAGCUAUUUAGGUAGCGCCUCGGACGAAUACUACUGGGGGUAGAGCACUGUUAAGGCUAGGGGGUCAUCCCGACUUACCAACCCUUUGCAAACUCCGAAUACCAGUAAGUACUAUCCGGGAGACACACGGCGGGUGCUAACGUCCGUCGUGGAGAGGGAAACAACCCAGACCGCCAGCUAAGGUCCCAAAUUACUACUAAGUGGGAAACGAUGUGGGAAGGCUCAGACAGCCAGGAUGUUGGCUUAG